UGCCCAGCAACUCCUAUCCCUACCUCCCCGCGGUACUGGCCGGGGUACGAGUAACCUAGGGGCGAG
Molecule: ribozyme, 66 nt
Filed under: Aedes aegypti (yellow fever mosquito)
Lineage: Eukaryota; Metazoa; Arthropoda; Insecta; Diptera; Culicidae
Description: drz-agam-1 ribozyme
Rfam family: drz-agam-1 ribozyme
Source: Rfam by way of RNAcentral